GAUGAAGAACGUAGCGAAAUGCGAUAAGUAAUGUGAAUUGCAGAAUUCCGUGAAUCAUCGAAUCUUUGAACGCACAUUGCGCCCCCUGGCAUUCCGGGGGGCAUACCUGUCCGAGCGUCAUUUCUGCCCUCCAGCCCGGCUGGGUGUUGGGCGCUGUCCCCCCGGGGACACGCCCCAAAGGCAGUGGCGGCGCCGCGUCGGGUCCUCGAGCGUAUGGGGCUUUGUCACCCGCUCGGGACGGACUCGUCGGCGCUGGUCUUCCUCCAGGCGACCCUUCGGGGCUCGUCUUCCUUCGGUUGACCUCGGAUCAGGUAGGGUUACCCGCUGAACUUAAGCAUAUCAAUAAGCGGAGGA
This 354-nucleotide unclassified non-coding RNA is filed under the name soil metagenome. Its description in RNAcentral is "partial contains 5.8S ribosomal RNA, internal transcribed spacer 2, and large subunit ribosomal RNA". The stretch from base 1 to 120 matches the Rfam family "5.8S ribosomal RNA", at positions 35 to 154 of the family's 154-position model. The record is from RNAcentral.